UUUAGAAUUGCCUCACUUUCCUCUCCUAUUAGGCUAUUACACAAUAAUUUACUUAUAAUUACCAACAUAACUCUGAAGAAUCUCUCUGCGUUUCAUUCUUUUCAUCUAGGGGAAGAUUAAUAAAGCAGGAAAAGUAUCUCAAAUACUUAUUUGUAUUUCAUGUAACCAGGCUAGCAAAAUCUUUUAUUCCAGGUACCAUCAGAGCAGAUAUAUCUUUUAGUUGGAUGUGAAAGAUGAGUUGGCUCCAUGCAAAUAGAGCUGAAAGGAAAAUUAGUCCAUCUUGAUAGUGUUGUCUACCCUUCGGAUAGGGGUAAGGUCUGCAUACAUAUUACCCUCCCCAGACCCCACUUGUGGGAUUAUACUGAGUCGUUGUUGUUGUUGUUGAUGAUAGUGUUGUCUCAAAACCUGUCAUACCCGAUGGCCGUAGGAAUAUCCUUUGCCCGCUAGAGCCUAGAAGGUGAAAAGGCAUCUGAAAAGAGUUUGUUUUUUUAAAGAACAUUGUUUAUGCGAACUAAUCGCUUGGAUAUGAUAUUGUUUAUUAUGUUUACUCCAAUGCUAAGUUUAUAGGUACAAAACCUUAUCUUGUAAAAUAUAGAUGUACUAUCUCUA
This is a non-coding RNA of Nicotiana tabacum (common tobacco), 609 nucleotides long. NCBI's taxonomy places the organism in Eukaryota, Viridiplantae, Streptophyta, Magnoliopsida, Solanales, Solanaceae. The record is from RefSeq and is a predicted model, not a curated record.